AAACUUAAAUGAAUUGACGGGGAGCACCACAACGGGUGGAGCUUGCGGUUUAAUUGGAUUCAACGCCGGAAAUCUUACCGGGACCGACAGCAAUAUGAAGGCCAGGCUGAAGACUUUGCCGGAUUAGCUGAGAGGUGGUGCAUGGCCGUCGUCAGUUCGUACUGUGAAGCAUCCUGUUAAGUCAGGCAACGAGCGAGACCCACGCCCACAGUUGCCAGCGUACUCUCUGGAGUGACGGGUACACUGUGGGGACCGCCGCUGCUAAAGCGGAGGAAGGAAUGGGCAACGGUAGGUCAGUAUGCCCCGAAUAUCCCGGGCUACACGCGAGCUACAAUGGUUGGUACAAUGGGUAUCUACCCCGAAAGGGGACGGGAAUCUCCUAAAACCAAUCUUAGUUCGGAUUGAGGGCUGCAACUCGCCCUCAUGAAGCUGGAAUCCGUAGUAAUCGCGUUUCAACAGAACGCGGUGAAUACGUCCCUGCUCCUU
Molecule: ribosomal RNA, 486 nt
Filed under: uncultured Methanosaeta sp.
Lineage: Archaea; Methanobacteriati; Methanobacteriota; Methanomicrobia; Methanotrichales; Methanotrichaceae
Description: bacterial SSU rRNA
Rfam family: Archaeal small subunit ribosomal RNA
Source: RNAcentral